CCUACGGGUGGCAGCAGUGAGGAAUAUUGGUCAAUGGACGAGAGUCUGAACCAGCCAAGUAGCGUGAAGGAUGACUGCCCUAUGGGUUGUAAACUUCUUUUAUAAAGGAAUAAAACGAGGCACGUGUGCCUUUUUGCAUGUACUUUAUGAAUAAGGAUCGGCUAACUCCGUGCCAGCAGCCGCGGUAAUACGGAGGAUCCGAGCGUUAUCCGGAUUUAUUGGGUUUAAAGGGAGCGUAGAUGGGUUGUUAAGUCAGUUGUGAAAGUUUGCGGCUCAACCGUAAAAUUGCAAUUGAUACUGGCAGUCGUGAGUACAGUUGAGGUAGGCGGAAUUCGUGGUGUAGCGGUGAAAUGCUUAGAUAUCACGAAGAACCCCGAUUGCGAAGGCAGCUUACUAAACUGUAACUGACAUUGAUGCUCGAAAGUGUGGGUAUCAAACAGGAUUAGAUACCCCAGUAGUC
RNAcentral lists this ribosomal RNA (460 nucleotides) under uncultured bacterium. Its description in RNAcentral is "partial 16S ribosomal RNA". It matches the Rfam family "Bacterial small subunit ribosomal RNA", at positions 338 to 795 of the family's 1533-position model. The record is from RNAcentral.